GUGCAGCAGGCGCGAAAACUCCGCAAUACGCGAAAGCGUGACGGGGCUACCCCGAGUGUCGUCCGCUGAGGACGACUUUUCCACGCUGUAAGGAGGCGUGGGAAUAAGGAGAGGGCAAGUCUGGUGUCAGCCGCCGCGGUAAUACCAGCUCUCCGAGUGGUAGGGACGAUUAUUGGGCUUAAAGCGUCCGUAGCCGGCUCAGCAAGUCUCUUGUUAAAUCCAGCGAUUCAAUCGUUGGACUGCGGGAGAUACUGUUAGGCUAGGGGGCGGGAGAAGCCGACGGUAUGUCCGGGGUAGGGGCGAAAUCCUAUAAUCCCGGGAGGACCACCAGUGGCGAAGGCGGCCGACUAAAACGCGCCCGACGGUGAGGGACGAAAGCUGGGGGAGCGAACGGGAUUAGAUAUGAAGUUGAGUUUUUACCAGCUUCACUAGAUACCCCGGUAGUCC
RNAcentral lists this ribosomal RNA (447 nucleotides) under uncultured archaeon. Its description in RNAcentral is "partial 16S ribosomal RNA". It matches the Rfam family "Archaeal small subunit ribosomal RNA", at positions 330 to 747 of the family's 1478-position model. The record is from RNAcentral.